ACGGGGGGGGCAAGCGUUGUUCGGAAUUACUGGGCGUAAAGGGCUCGUAGGCGGUCACCGCAAGUCGACUGUGAAAUCUCCGGGCUUAACUCGGAACGGUCAGCUGAUACUGCUUUGCUAGAGUGCAGAAGGGGCAAUCGGAAUUCUUGGUGUAGCGGUGAAAUGCGUAGAUAUCAAGAGGAACACCUGAGGUGAAGACGGGUUGCUGGGCUGACACUGACGCUGAUGCGCGAAAGCCAGGGGAGCAAACGGGA
Molecule: ribosomal RNA, 254 nt
Filed under: uncultured prokaryote
Description: partial 16S ribosomal RNA
Rfam family: Bacterial small subunit ribosomal RNA
Source: RNAcentral